RNAcentral lists this ribosomal RNA (484 nucleotides) under uncultured bacterium. Its description in RNAcentral is "partial 16S ribosomal RNA". It matches the Rfam family "Bacterial small subunit ribosomal RNA", at positions 29 to 507 of the family's 1533-position model. The record is from RNAcentral.
AUUGAACGCUGGCGGCAUGCUUUACACAUGCAAGUCGAACGGCAGCGCGGGCUUCGGCCUUGCGGCGAGUGGCGAACGGGUGAGUAAUGCAUCGGAACGUGCCCGGUAGUGGGGGAUAGCCCGGCGAAAGCCGGAUUAAUACCGCAUACGACCUGAGGGUGAAAGCGGGGGACCGACAGACCUCGCGCUAUUAGAGCAGCCUAUGUCGGAUUAGCUAGUUGGUGGGGUAAAGGCUUACCAAGGCGACGAUCCGUAGCUGGUCUGAGAGGACGACCAGCCACACUGGGACUGAGACACGGCCCAGACUCCUACGGGAGGCAGCAGUGGGGAAUAUUGGACAAUGGGGGCAAGCCUGAUCCAGCCAUGCCGCGUGCGGGAAGAAGGCCUUCGGGUUGUAAAGCGCUUUUGUUCGGGAAGAAAGCCUGUGGGCUAAUACCCCGGGGGGAUGACGUUACCGGAAGAAUAAGCACCGGCUAACUACGUG